ACUAGUGAUUCAAGGUUUCCGUAGGUGAACCAGCGGAGGGAUCAUUA
RNAcentral lists this ribosomal RNA (47 nucleotides) under Metarhizium acridum. RNAcentral's name for it is "partial 18S ribosomal RNA". The record is from RNAcentral. Lineage: Eukaryota; Fungi; Ascomycota; Sordariomycetes; Hypocreales; Clavicipitaceae.